This 226-nucleotide long non-coding RNA is filed under the name Elaeis guineensis (African oil palm). RNAcentral's name for it is "long non-coding RNA (EGUI_LNC059965)". Lineage: Eukaryota; Viridiplantae; Streptophyta; Magnoliopsida; Arecales; Arecaceae. The record is from RNAcentral.
ACAUGAUUAAUAUGUUCUUAAGGUCCCAAGGCUCUCUGCUCUUCAGAGACACUCCCUUAGAGCUUAACUUUUCUCCCACUACUUCAUCUUGGUUAAAUAAUUUUUCAAGAAGAUGGCACUGAGUCACAAUCACAGUAUAAUCACAUCAAAAAGUAAUAUCCCAAACUUUUUUAGGCAGAGCUUUGUAGACCUAUUCUUUAACAUAUCCACCUACUAUCCUAGACAC